This 466-nucleotide ribosomal RNA is filed under the name Vreelandella stevensii. RNAcentral's name for it is "partial 16S ribosomal RNA". It matches the Rfam family "Bacterial small subunit ribosomal RNA", at positions 338 to 795 of the family's 1533-position model. Lineage: Bacteria; Pseudomonadati; Pseudomonadota; Gammaproteobacteria; Oceanospirillales; Halomonadaceae. The record is from RNAcentral.
CCUACGGGUGGGCUGCAGUGGGGAAUAUUGGACAAUGGGCGAAAGCCUGAUCCAGCCAUGCCGCGUGUGUGAAGAAGGCCUUCGGGUUGUAAAGCACUUUCAGUGGGGAAGAAAGCCUUGGGGCUAAUACCCUCGAGGAAGGACAUCACCCACAGAAGAAGCACCGGCUAACUCCGUGCCAGCAGCCGCGGUAAUACGGAGGGUGCGAGCGUUAAUCGGAAUUACUGGGCGUAAAGCGCGCGUAGGCGGUCUGAUAAGCCGGUUGUGAAAGCCCCGGGCUCAACCUGGGAACGGCAUCCGGAACUGUCAGGCUAGAGUGCAGGAGAGGAAGGUAGAAUUCCCGGUGUAGCGGUGAAAUGCGUAGAGAUCGGGAGGAAUACCAGUGGCGAAGGCGGCCUUCUGGACUGACACUGACGCUGAGGUGCGAAAGCGUGGGUAGCAAACAGGAUUAGAUACCCUUGUAGUC